Molecule: ribosomal RNA, 916 nt
Filed under: uncultured bacterium
Lineage: Bacteria
Description: bacterial SSU rRNA
Rfam family: Bacterial small subunit ribosomal RNA
Source: RNAcentral
AGAGUUUGAUCCUGGCUCAGGAUGAACGCUAGCUACAGGCUUAACACAUGCAAGUCGAGGGGCAGCAUUAUCUUAGCUUGCUAAGAUAGAUGGCGACCGGCGCACGGGUGAGUAACACGUAUCCAACCUUCCGGUUACUCGGGGAUAGGCUUUCGAAAGAAAGAUUAAUACCCGAUGUUGCGUAUCUUUCUCCUGAAAGAUACGCCAAAGGAUUCCGGUAACCGAUGGGGAUGCGUUCCAUUAGGCAGUUGGCGGGGUAACGGCCCACCAAACCUUCGAUGGAUAGGGGUUCUGAGAGGAAGGUCCCCCACAUUGGAACUGAGACACGGUCCAAACUCCUACGGGAGGCAGCAGUGAGGAAUAUUGGUCAAUGGACGCAAGUCUGAACCAGCCAAGUAGCGUGAAGGAUGACUGCCCUCUGGGUUGUAAACUUCUUUUAUACGGGAAUAACAUGAGGUACGCGUACCUUAUUGCAUGUACCGUUAUGAAUAAGCAUCGGCUAACUCCGUGCCAGCAGCCGCGGUAAUACGGAGGAUGCGAGCGUUAUCCGGAUUUAUUGGGUUUAAAGGGAGCGUAGGUGGGAUAUUAAGUCAGCUGUGAAAGUUUGGGGCUCAACCUUAAAAUUGCAGUUGAUACUGGUUUCCUUGAGUACGGUACAGGUGGGCGGAAUUCGCGGUGUAGCGGUGAAAUGCUUAGAUAUCACGAAGAACUCCGAUCGCGAAGGCAGCUCACCGGGCCGGAACUGACACUGAUGCUCGAAAGUGCGGGUAUCAAACAGGAUUAGAUACCCUGGUAGUCCGCACAGUAAACGAUGAAUACUCGCUGUUUGCGAUACACUGUAAGCGGCCAAGCGAAAGCGUUAAGUAUUCCACCUGGGGAGUACGCCGGCAACGGUGAAACUCAAAGGAAUUGACGG